RNAcentral lists this ribosomal RNA (441 nucleotides) under uncultured bacterium. RNAcentral describes it as "partial 16S ribosomal RNA". It matches the Rfam family "Bacterial small subunit ribosomal RNA", at positions 339 to 795 of the family's 1533-position model. The record is from RNAcentral.
CUACGGGUUGCUGCAGUGGGGAAUAUUGGACAAUGGACCAAAAGUCUGAUCCAGCAAUUCUGUGUGCACGAUGACGGUUUUCGGAUUGUAAAGUGCUUUCAACAGGGAAGAAGUUCUGACGGUACCUGUAGAAGAAGCGACGGCUAAAUACGUGCCAGCAGCCGCGGUAAUACGUAUGUCGCAAGCGUUAUCCGGAUUUAUUGGGCAUAAAGGGCAUCUAGGCGGCUUAGUAAGUCUGAUGUGAAAAUGCGGGGCUCAACUCCGUAUUGCGUUGGAAACUACUAGGCUAGAGUAUUGGAGAGGUAGGCGGAACUACAUGUGUAGAGGUGAAAUUCGUAGAUAUAUGUAGGAAUGCCGAUGACGAAGGUAGCUUACUGGGCAAUUACUGACGCUGAAGUGCGAAAGCUAGGGGAGCAAACAGGAUUAGAUACCCUUGUAGUC